UACGGGGGGGGCAAGCGUUGUUCGGAAUUACUGGGCGUAAAGGGCUCGUAGGCGGCCAACUAAGUCAGACGUGAAAUCCCUCGGCUUAACCGGGGAACUGCGUCUGAUACUGGAUGGCUUGAAUCCGGGAGAGGGAUGCGGAAUUCCAGGUGUAGCGGUGAAAUGCGUAGAUAUCGAGAGGAACACCUGCGGCGAAGGCGGGUUGCUGGGCUGACACUGACGCUGAGGCGCGAAAGCCAGGGGAGCGAACGGG
RNAcentral lists this ribosomal RNA (253 nucleotides) under uncultured bacterium. Its description in RNAcentral is "partial 16S ribosomal RNA". It matches the Rfam family "Bacterial small subunit ribosomal RNA", at positions 524 to 776 of the family's 1533-position model. The record is from RNAcentral.